This is a long non-coding RNA of Syngnathus acus (greater pipefish), 727 nucleotides long. RefSeq lists it as uncharacterized. The record is from RefSeq and is a predicted model, not a curated record. The transcript is spliced from 2 exons. NCBI's taxonomy places the organism in Eukaryota, Metazoa, Chordata, Actinopteri, Syngnathiformes, Syngnathidae.
AGGGCAUCCAGAAGGUUAUCGGCCAUUUUGUAGACGUACUCAUCCGACUUGGACAGAAACUCUGACAAGCUGCCGACAACACGUAUUGAUCUCAUGAACGGGGGACAAGAACAGCUAUGGAAUAGAGCAGGAAGCGUGAACUUGUGUUAAACUUUACAAGUUGGACUUUAGUGUCAUAACUGACCUGUCCGAGCCCUGGAGGCUGGACUCGUCCCCGUAGAGGCUGUAGAUGAGGUCUGAGUCGUCCUUACUAACAUUGGAGAAGCUGGAGUCGUAGGCGGGCGCGUAAGACGUGAAUGGCCCGUAGUUCAUGUAGCACACUGCGAAGCGGACGUCGUGUGUCAGCGUCAGUAGAGAACUUGACUUUUUAUUUUUAAUAACCUGGUGUGAUGCGGUUUCUCUUGUCCUCCCGGAAGCCCUGGAGGCAGUUAACGCCGCUUUGCAGACGGGUGGACAUCAUGCCCAGUUUGACGGGGCAAUAUCCCGCCUCUGUGGAAGCAAUCGUGAGGCAAAGACAAAAGUUUUGUAACGAUCUGCUUCAACGUGUUUUUCCAUCUCUCAAUGCUGUAGCACCACCGCUGUUGUUUUUGUUGCCUUUACCUCCAGCAGAAGGAUCGGCUGGGUUGACAAAAGCCAGAGUGGUGGAGCCAUCACACUGCCUCUGCCUGCUUAAUUCCAACUGAGAAAGAGGGGGGGAAAAAAAUGAAGCAAUUGAGACAGACCUCCA